ACUAUGAUGAUGUCCCAUUUUGUGUAGCUCUGUCACGUGAGGAUAAUGCCCAGGAAAUCUGGCUCUUCCUAUCCUUUCAGUCUCAGAUCAACUACCAUGCGACACGGCACAGAACCUGGCUUUUCAAGUGACUUCAAAAUAGACAACACACUGCUAGGAUUACACAAAAAACAUCUUACUGAAUUUGAAGCUGGAACUAUAAGAUGACCACUUGACCUUCUCCUGCUACUACUGAAUCAGCAAAAUGUACUUACUGGGCAGGCAGAUGUGGGAUGUUUGAUACUAGCCAAGCAACUGGGAAGAUUUACACCCAGGAUGUGGAAGAUUAACUCAGCAUCAUUGCUUCCAUGCCUCCUGAAAAGUCUAUAUUUCAGCAAGAAUAAUCCAAGAGCAUGACCACUAAAGUUUCAGG
This 412-nucleotide long non-coding RNA is filed under the name Mustela putorius furo (domestic ferret). RNAcentral's name for it is "lncRNA (ENSMPUG00000031202.1)". The record is from RNAcentral. Lineage: Eukaryota; Metazoa; Chordata; Mammalia; Carnivora; Mustelidae.